RNAcentral lists this unclassified non-coding RNA (651 nucleotides) under Hevea brasiliensis (rubber tree). The record is from RNAcentral. Lineage: Eukaryota; Viridiplantae; Streptophyta; Magnoliopsida; Malpighiales; Euphorbiaceae.
GCCUUGCAAGAGUAAAAUAAAUGCAUGCAAGUUAUCUGAGACAGCACUAGCCUUUAGCUGCCUCAACUUCCUUUUUACAGAUUGGUGCAGGUGAGAGUCCUGAUGAUACAACCCUUAUUUGCUCCCGCGGCUCAGACAGUGCAUUGGAGUUCAUGUCCACGUGUAAGCUGGCUAAUUUGACUGUGAGGACAGAGCUUGGUUGCUGCUUGCUUCAUAGAAGCGGGAAGCUCACAGUUGAUGGGUGCAUUCUUCAGUGCGAGUCGAACCCUCUUGACCAUCUCUCCUAUGCAAUUAUCAGUACUGCUGGUGCGGCUGAAGUCAUCCCCUCAGCACUCAAAACUUGUAGUGAUGCUGUUUCGGUUCUGAAAACUCAAAUUGCAGGAGGUGCCAAAGCUGUCCUAACCAGUGGGACACUUUCAUUGCAACGAGUACGAGUCAUUUAUACUCGCACAUCACUCUUCUUCUGGUUUGAGGUAGAAGGCAGCGACAAAAAUACAGUGCAAUCUGCACCUGUUGAAUUGCCAAUUAGUUAGUCAAUCUGCCGUUCCAUUCCAUUUAUUGUAUCCUUUCUGUCACCUAUCUUGAUAAAGAGGAUUGGUUGUAACAUAUUGUUCAAAUUAUGUACUCGGUUUUACUGUAUCAUUGUGCAAG